CCGAAUACACGUGCCGGAGACCCGAUUUAUUUUCACUGUCCGGCCACGACACGGAGCCGGACCACCAGCGUUCAACGCGUCAUUUCACCGUCUACCUCCUACUGAUUUUGGAUCGUCCAUGCAUCGAGUGAGGAGGGAGAAUCGAAGUCGGAAAGCUUCGAGUUUUCCGACUGUUCUUCAUCAAUUUCCGGCGACUCCGGUCACCUUCGAACAUGCAUGAGCAAUGGAGCCAUUGUCAACAACGGCGAUUCCCACGUUUCUGGGUUCAUCGUCGAUAACAAUUUUGGUCCUAGAAUUUGGAAGGGUGAUUGGUCAAGCCUAAAUUAUUGGAUAGGCUGAGUGGAUGAUCUCGGAACUGGCAAAGUUUGGAAAUAGUCGAGCAAAGUGGGAAAAACCUUUGGUUGCUGUGUUGUGUUCUUCGUCGGAGAAGUAUUCAGCCGGCUUAGAAGCUUUGCUUGGCUUUCUUUAAAUACUAAGUGUGGAUGACCUUACUGAGCAGUGCAGACGAAAGCUCACCAUACAAUGGUGUGGAUGCGGGUAUUGUGCACUGGUUACAGGAUUGGAGCGAACAAAGAUGGGUGUGCGGACUUCGAUAGUAAUUGUAACGGAAAUCAGGUCUCAGGUUCCAAUCUUAUCCUUGUUUCUUAAAGUUAUUUUUCCAAAAUUGGUUGAAAGCUGAUUGUCGUUUACUAAGCCCAUUACCACCCGAUUAUUUGAUAUGACAAGUCUUGGAAGAAUAAUUGAACUUAAAGUUUAAAAAGAUUUUCACCUCAAUUUUUUUUUUAUCACUGUGCAUUUUACAAAUUUAUUUAUUUUAAAUAAGUUGCCUAGCCGAUCUCUAGUAUGUAAGUCGAAUCUUCGGUUUAUGUUUAAAGACUCGCGGCACUAUAACGAACUAAAGCUGGUGAGGUGACAAACUAAUGAGGCUUGCUCACCUAGACUAAGAGACAGUUUUAAAGGAUUGUGAGGG
Rosa rugosa (rugosa rose) is the source of this 970-nucleotide long non-coding RNA. RefSeq lists it as uncharacterized. The transcript has 4 exons. NCBI's taxonomy places the organism in Eukaryota, Viridiplantae, Streptophyta, Magnoliopsida, Rosales, Rosaceae. The record is from RefSeq and is a predicted model, not a curated record.